RNAcentral lists this ribosomal RNA (274 nucleotides) under uncultured prokaryote. Its description in RNAcentral is "partial 16S ribosomal RNA". It matches the Rfam family "Bacterial small subunit ribosomal RNA", at positions 524 to 798 of the family's 1533-position model. The record is from RNAcentral.
UACGUAGGUGGCAAGCGUUGUCCGGAAUUACUGGGUGUAAAGGGCGUGUAGGCGGGAAGGCAAGUCAGAUGUGAAAUCCCAGGGCUUAACUCUGGAGCUGCAUCUGAAACUGUUUUCUUGAGUACUGGAGAGGAAAGUGGAAUUCCUAGUGUAGCGGUGAAAUGCGUAGAGAUUAGGAGGAACACCAGUGGCGAAGGCGGCUUUCUGGACAGUAACUGACGCUGAGGCGCGAAAGCGUGGGGAGCAAACAGGAUUAGAUACCCGGGUAGUCCCU